Molecule: RNA transcript, 2997 nt
Organism: Felis catus (domestic cat)
Lineage: Eukaryota; Metazoa; Chordata; Mammalia; Carnivora; Felidae
Gene: ALG11
Gene name: ALG11 alpha-1,2-mannosyltransferase
Exons: 5
Source: RefSeq, a predicted model, not a curated record
GAACACCGCCCGCUUCCUCUGGAGCCAAUAGAGAAGAGGAACAGCGAAGCGCUUCCUGAGUUCGGGGGUCGAGGGAAGAUGGCGACCACCAAAGUGGGUUGGUGCUUGUGCGAGUUACUGAGGUUUUUUUAUUCAUUAUUCCUCCCUGGCCUGACAGUAUGUGGAAUUUUAUGCAUAUGUUUGUUCAUUAUCCUCUGGGGAAUCAGACUGCUGGUACGAAGAAAGAAAGAGUCAGUAGCAACUAGCAAAAAUGGGAAAAAUCAACUGGUGAUUGCAUUUUUUCAUCCGUACUGCAAUGCUGGCGGCGGAGGAGAAAGAGUUUUGUGGUGUGCCUUAAGGGCUCUGCAGAAAAAGUAUCCUGAAGCAAUUUAUGUUGUGUAUACUGGUGACGUGAACGUCAGUGGUCAACAGAUUCUAGAAGGUGCUUUCCGAAGAUUUAACAUCAGCCUCACUCACCCAGUGAAGUUUGUUUUCCUGAGGAAACGCUACCUUGUGGAAGAUUCGCUCUAUCCUCACUUCACACUGCUGGGCCAAAGUCUAGGAUCCAUUUUUCUUGGCUGGGAAGCUCUAAUGCAGUGUGUUCCUGACGUUUACAUCGAUUCAAUGGGAUACGCGUUCACACUGCCUCUGUUUAAGUAUCUAGGUGGUUGUCGCAUUGGCAGCUACGUUCAUUAUCCCACGAUCAGCACUGAUAUGCUGUCUGUAGUGAAGAACCAAAAUGUCGGAUUUAAUAACGCAGCCUUCAUUACCAGGAAUCCUUUUCUCAGCAAAGUAAAGCUCAUCUAUUACUAUUUAUUUGCUUUUAUUUAUGGACUUGUGGGUUCUUGCAGUGAUGUAGUGAUGGUCAAUUCUUCUUGGACACUAAACCACAUUCUCUCACUGUGGAAAGUCGGGAAUUGCACUAAUAUUGUUUACCCACCUUGUGAUGUACAGACCUUUCUGGACAUUCCCUUACAUGAGAAAAAGACAACCCCAGGACAUUUGCUGGUUUCCAUUGGCCAGUUCCGGCCUGAAAAGAAUCAUCCUUUGCAGAUCAAAGCCUUUGCUAAAUUGCUGAAUAAGAAGGUGGCUGGAUCACUUCCUUCCCUUAAACUUGUCCUCAUUGGAGGGUGUCGUAACCAAGAUGAUGAGCUCAGGGUAAACCAACUGAGAAAGCUUUCUGAGGAUCUGGGAGUUCAAGAAAAUGUGGAAUUUAAAAUAAACAUUCCAUUUGAUGAGUUAAAGACCUACUUGUCUGAAGCAACGAUUGGUCUGCACACCAUGUGGAACGAGCAUUUUGGGAUUGGAGUCGUCGAGUGUAUGGCAGCUGGCACGAUUAUCCUCGCACACAAUUCAGGCGGCCCCAAGCUUGACAUUGUCGUCCCUCACGAAGGAGAGAUAACUGGAUUUCUGGCUGAAAGCGAAGAAGGCUACGCGGAAACCAUGGCUCAUAUUCUUUCCAUGUCUGAGGAAAAGAGACUCCAAAUCCGAAGCAGUGCUCGGGCAUCUGUAAGCAGAUUCUCUGAUCAGGAGUUUGAACUGGCGUUCCUGUCAUCUGUGGAGAGCUUAUUCAAAUAAUGUCAUAUCUGUACAGAUGAAAGAUAUUUUAUAUAAAAUGGCGACAUACCUUCAUUCACAAGAAUAAUUUAAAGACCUAAAGACUCCAUUUCACAAAGCUGUUUAAGGACAAAAAUUGGGAUUAUAACGUGGGACUUCUGACUCCAGCCCAGUUCACUUUCUUACCUUACAGCUAGUCUUUUGUGGUAAGAUCCAUACCACCGCCCCCUCAGUUUACCCAUCAGCCCAUAGAAAAUCAUGAGAAUAAAGAUAAAGAAAUUGAAAGGGACUAAGAAGUAAAGGAAGAAAGGUUUCUGAAAUCCCAUAAAGCAUUUCUUAAUCUUGUUUCUUCAAAAUUAUUUUUUCAUUUGUCACAAACAUCACUGGAAACAUAAUUUGCGUAUAUGUUCAUCUUCCCUGUUCCUAAUGUGAUAGGACAUGUCUUUUUUUUUUUGGAAGGACUGAUAACCAUGGAAAGCAUCAAAGCAAUAUGUCUGCUGUCUGUCUGAAGAACUCUUGAGUGACUAUUCCUAUAAAACAUUGUUUUUGAGUGGUCCAAACACAGUAUAUUUUGAACCCACAGCAGUGGGGAUGCACAUUCUUAUUUCAGCUGUGCAUAACAAAAUACCUGUUCUUUGUAUCUCUACUUGUAUCUAAAUAUGACUUUAAUAGAUACAAAAUCUGUUUGUCUCUAAGUAUGAUAGGAAGUGGUUUUCAGUCUCUUGGAUACUUUUCCGCAUAUGGUGUAUUUGUCCCCUCAUGCAGGCUCUCAAUUCGGAAUUAUUUGUUAUCUACUACCAGUACUUCUAAGCUCCACAUGCCAAGAAUUUAAAAAAUAAAAAUGAAAAAUUUAAAGAUAAAGUAAAAUUGUCUCGCCUCUAGUACCCAAGAAGAAUAGGUUGUCAGGUUUAAUAGACUUUUUCCUUUUAAUGAAUAUUUCAGACCUACCAAACACUGCAGAACUUCAUAUGUUUUAAUAAUUUUGGGGUUUCUUUUUUACAGAGUCAUAGACAAAAUUCUGAGAGAGUAGCCCCUGUAAUUAUCAGUGCUUUCAGAAUAUUUGUGUUUAAUUAUGUGAAUGUACCCUAGACUCCAGGACUCUAAUAUGAAUAGGGUGUCUGUGCUAAAUCUUUCAGUGGGUACAACAAAAAAGUUAACCAUGAGAAGCAAUUCUGCAAAUUACUAGAAUCACAUUAUGCCCCUGUAAUUUCCCCUACCUCUCCCACUAUUCCUCAGCUAAUUUUUUCCUCUGUCCCCACCCUAAAUCUAAGGCCACCCUUGGCUUCAAAGAAGCAUCAGUUCUAAUAUUCGAGUGCUACGUGCUCACUUGGACUAUACAUGUUACAAGAUACUUAAAAGGGAAGUUAAAAGUUUGUACACAUUUAAAGAAUGAUCAGUUUGAUAGCUAGGAUACAUAGUUACUAAGAUGCAUAAUUUUUAAUAAAAUUUAUUCUAAAAACA